GCCGCGGAGGCACGUCGGCGGCGUCGGAGCGGCGGCGGCGAAACUGCCGUUGUCUCCGAUCAGCCAAGAAGGGGAAAGAGGAGAGGGUUUUCAGCUUUUAAUUAAAAUGAAGAAGGUGGUAGGAGAAAAUGGAAAGGAGAGAAGGGAAAUUAGGGUUACCUGUUUUCGACGGCGGUCGGCGGCGGAGCCAUGGUGGCUCGUCGUCGUCGGCGGCGGCGGUAACGUGACAGCCGUGACGUCGCCGUUGCUCCGAUUCAGCCAAAUCGGAAGAGAGAGAGAUGAGUUUUCAGUUUUAAUUUGAAAGGGGAAGAAGAUGAGGAAAGUAGAGACGGAGUUAGGGUUUACCUGCUUCACGGCGGCGGCACCGCGGUGGUUGCUUCGCCGGAGGCCGAGAGAGGGAGAGGGAGAGGGAGAACAGGGGCAGCGGCGGCGCACCGCGGUGGUUGCGUCUGCCGCCUUGUCUCGGCAGUCUAGAAAGAGG
This 481-nucleotide long non-coding RNA is filed under the name Salvia miltiorrhiza (redroot sage). RNAcentral's name for it is "long non-coding RNA (SMIL_LNC006388)". Lineage: Eukaryota; Viridiplantae; Streptophyta; Magnoliopsida; Lamiales; Lamiaceae. The record is from RNAcentral.